This 118-nucleotide transfer RNA is filed under the name Ustilago trichophora. RNAcentral describes it as "transfer RNA-Phe(GAA)". The record is from RNAcentral. Lineage: Eukaryota; Fungi; Basidiomycota; Ustilaginomycetes; Ustilaginales; Ustilaginaceae.
GCUUCUUUAGCUCAGUUGGUACGAGCGUCCGACUGAAGAAUUCAGUUUCUGUAGUCGCCACUGUUUGCAGUGGAUACGGUUUAUCGGGAGGUCACCUGUUCGACCCAGGUAAGGAGCA